AGGGAGUUUCAAAAGGGGAGGGAGUAUACAAAUAGGUGUGGGUGACAGACAUCAAGUACUUAACAGGAUAAUAGAAUAUCUCAAGGCAAGUGGAGACAGGGCGAGACCACAGGACCGAAGUGAAAUUAAAAUUGCUAAUGAAGUUUUGGCACCAUUGUCAUUGAUAACAUCUUAUCAGGAGACAGGGUUUUGAGAUCAACCGGUCUGACCAAAGUUUAUUAGGUGGGAAUUUUCUUUUCCUAAUAAGCCUGGGAGCGCUAUGGGAGACUGGAGUUUAUUUCAUCUCUGCAAUCUCGACCAUAAGAGACAGGUACGCCCCACGGGGCCAGUUCAGAGACCUACCCCUAGGUGCGCAUUCUCUUUCUCAGGGGCGUUCCAUGCUGAGAAAAGGAAUUCAGCGAUAUUUCUCCCAUUUGCUUUUGAAAGAAGAGAAAUAUGGUUCUGUUCUGCCCGGCUCACCGGCGGUCAGAGUUUAAGGUUAUCUCUCUUAUUCCCUGAACAAUUGCUGUGAUCCUGUUCUUUUUUCAGGG
RNAcentral lists this long non-coding RNA (530 nucleotides) under Homo sapiens (human). RNAcentral describes it as "HSALNT0068354". Lineage: Eukaryota; Metazoa; Chordata; Mammalia; Primates; Hominidae. The record is from RNAcentral.